CCAGACUCCUACGGGAGGCAGCAGUGGGGAAUAUUGCACAAUGGGGGGAACCCUGAUGCAGCGACGCCGCGUGGGCGAGGAAGUAUUUCGGUAUGUAAAGCCCUAUCGGCAGGGAAGAAGAAAUGACGGUACCUGAAUAAGAAGCACCGGCUAAAUACGUGCCAGCAGCCGCGGUAAUACGUAGGGGGCAAGCGUUAUCCGGAUUUACUGGGUGUAAAGGGGGCGCAGACGGCGAUGCAAGCCAGGAGUGAAAGCCCGGGGCCCAACCCCGGGACUGCUCUUGGAACUGCGUGGCUGGAGUGCAGGAGGGGCAGGCGGAAUUCCUGGUGUAGCGGUGAAAUGCGUAGAUAUCAGGAGGAACACCGGUGGCGAAGGCGGCCUGCUGGACUGCAACUGACGUUGAGGCCCGAAAGCGUGGGGAGCAAACAGGAUUAGAUACCCUGGUAC
RNAcentral lists this ribosomal RNA (447 nucleotides) under uncultured bacterium. RNAcentral's name for it is "partial 16S ribosomal RNA". It matches the Rfam family "Bacterial small subunit ribosomal RNA", at positions 331 to 793 of the family's 1533-position model. The record is from RNAcentral.